RNAcentral lists this ribosomal RNA (429 nucleotides) under Gemmatimonadota bacterium. RNAcentral's name for it is "Gemmatimonadetes bacterium partial 16S ribosomal RNA". It matches the Rfam family "Bacterial small subunit ribosomal RNA", at positions 355 to 776 of the family's 1533-position model. Lineage: Bacteria; Pseudomonadati; Gemmatimonadota. The record is from RNAcentral.
UAGGGAAUCUUCGGCAAUGGACGAAAGUCUGACCGAGCAACGCCGCGUGAGUGAAGAAGGUUUUCGGAUCGUAAAACUCUGUUGUUAGAGAAGAACAAGGACGGGAGUAACUGAACGUCCCCUGACGGUAUCUAACCAGAAAGCCACGGCUAACUACGUGCCAGCAGCCGCGGUAAUACGUAGGUGGCAAGCGUUGUCCGGAUUUAUUGGGCGUAAAGCGAGCGCAGGCGGUUUCUUAAGUCUGAUGUGAAAGCCCCCGGCUCAACCGGGGAGGGUCAUUGGAAACUGGGAGACUUGAGUGCAGAAGAGGAGAGUGGAAUUCCAUGUGUAGCGGUGAAAUGCGUAGAUAUAUGGAGGAACACCAGUGGCGAAGGCGGCUAUCUGGUCUGUAACUGACGCUGAGGCUCGAAAGCGUGGGGAGCAAACAGG